GACGAACGCUGGCGGUGCGCCUAAUACAUGCAAGUAGAACGCUGAAGGAGGAGCUUGCUCUUCUGGAUGAGUUGCGAACGGGUGAGUAACGCGUAGGUAACCUGCCUGGUAGCGGGGGAUAACUAUUGGAAACGAUAGCUAAUACCGCAUAAGAGUAGAUGUUGCAUGACAUUUACUUAAAAGGUGCAAUUGCAUCACUACCAGAUGGACCUGCGUUGUAUUAGCUAGUUGGUGGGGUAACGGCUUACCAAGGCGACGAUACAUAGCCGACCUGAGAGGGUGAUCGGCCACACUGGGACUGAGACACGGCCCAGACUCCUACGGGAGGCAGCAGUAGGGAAUCUUCGGCAAUGGACGGAAGUCUGACCGAGCAACGCCGCGUGAGUGAAGAAGGUUUUCGGAUCGUAAAGCUCUGUUGUAAGAGAAGAACGAGUGUGAGAGUGGAAAGUUCACACUGUGACGGUAUCUUACCAGAAAGGGACGGCUAACUACGUG
RNAcentral lists this ribosomal RNA (495 nucleotides) under uncultured bacterium. RNAcentral's name for it is "partial 16S ribosomal RNA". It matches the Rfam family "Bacterial small subunit ribosomal RNA", at positions 28 to 507 of the family's 1533-position model. The record is from RNAcentral.